CGUGUAGGCGGGAAGGUAAGUCGGGCGUGAAAUCCCUGGGCUCAACCCAGGAACUGCACUCGAAACUACUUUUCUUGAGUGCCGGAGAGGAAAGCGGAAUUCCUGGUGUAGAGGUGAAAUUCGUAGAUAUCAGGAGGAACACCAGUGGCGAAGGCGGCUUUCUGGACGGUAACUGACGCUGAGACGCGAAAGCGUGGGGAGCAAACA
RNAcentral lists this ribosomal RNA (207 nucleotides) under uncultured bacterium. RNAcentral's name for it is "partial 16S ribosomal RNA". It matches the Rfam family "Bacterial small subunit ribosomal RNA", at positions 568 to 774 of the family's 1533-position model. The record is from RNAcentral.